Long non-coding RNA from Hyalella azteca, 320 nucleotides. RefSeq lists it as uncharacterized. The transcript has 4 exons. NCBI's taxonomy places the organism in Eukaryota, Metazoa, Arthropoda, Malacostraca, Amphipoda, Hyalellidae. The record is from RefSeq and is a predicted model, not a curated record.
ACUUACCAAGGCAUAGCAGUGAAGUCCCUUUGAGGCAGUUGGAAGAAAAAUAAGCCAGAAGAAAGCAACUCGGCAAGCAUGAGGCAGUGGCAAGUGUUGGGCGUGUUGGGCGUCCUGUGUGUGGCCGCCACCAUCGCUCUCAGCGUCACGCUCCCGGAGACAACCAAAGUCAAUGAAAAAAAAUUUUAUUCCCCGAGACAUGCAGUGGGCCCAAGUCCCGGACUGCAAGUAGCAUCGACACUAAUGCAGGCUGAGGAUGCGGAGAAGACACUUCUUGAGGAGCCAGUCCCACCCAGUCAUCGUCAAAGCCUCGUCAAGAA